Molecule: long non-coding RNA, 564 nt
Organism: Eriocheir sinensis (Chinese mitten crab)
Lineage: Eukaryota; Metazoa; Arthropoda; Malacostraca; Decapoda; Varunidae
Exons: 2
Source: RefSeq, a predicted model, not a curated record
UGCUUCUACCUCCUCGCUCUUCUCUUCUUCGCACAUUGCUCCUUGAGGCCCUGCACGGCACACACAUUCUCAGACUUUACUGUGGGAUUGGUUGGUGUGCAAGAGCCUGUCUGUUACAUUCUGUUCGCGCUCUGCAGGUUUCAUUUAUUUCACAUCCAAAUUCUACAGUCAACACUUAGGAAAAUCAAGAUGCGUUGGCCAUUCCUGAUGUUCUCCCUUGUUGUAAUACUGCUGCUGCUGCCUGCAAUGGGUAGCAGCUCGAGUCCUAACGGGUACUACUACAGCUCAAACAACAAACAGUCGGACACGGCUGAUUGCAUUUAUCGCUGUUCCGUCAAGGAUAAGAACGGCCAAUGCAAGGUGGACUUGAGGUGUAUGAUGACCCGCAGGCGGCCGAUACGCUACCAUCUGGGCUAUAAUUUAUAGGGGAUGCCUGCCACGGCGUGUAGUUCACUCUUUUUUAUUUAAAUAUUCUUUAUAUUUAUAAAAAAAAUGUAUUGUGUUGUUGUCGUCAUUGCCCGUGAUGCUAUGAACUGCUCUCAUGUCAAAUAAAUGUUAAUUUUU